CCUACGGGCGGCAGCAGUGAGGAAUAUUGGUCAAUGGGCGCUAGCCUGAACCAGCCAAGUAGCGUGAAGGAUGACUGCCCUAUGGGUUGUAAACUUCUUUUAUAUAGGAAUAAAGUGAGGCAUGUAUACUGCUUUGCAUGUACUUUAUGAAUAAGGAUCGGCUAACUCCGUGCCAGCAGCCGCGGUAAUACGGAGGAUCCGAGCGUUAUCCGGCUUUAUUGGGUUUAAAGGGAGCGUAGGUGGGUUGUUAAGUCAGUUGUGAAAGUUUGCGGCUCAACCGUAAAAUUGCAAUUGAUACUGGCAUCCUUGAGUACAGUAGAGGUAGGCGGAAUUCGUGGUGUAGCGGUGAAAUGCUUAGAUAUCACGAAGAACUCCGAUUGCGAAGGCAGCUUGCUAAACUGUAACUGACGCUGAUGCUCGAAAGUGUGGGUAUCAAACAGGAUUAGAUACCCUUGUAGUC
RNAcentral lists this ribosomal RNA (460 nucleotides) under uncultured bacterium. RNAcentral describes it as "partial 16S ribosomal RNA". It matches the Rfam family "Bacterial small subunit ribosomal RNA", at positions 338 to 795 of the family's 1533-position model. The record is from RNAcentral.